Molecule: ribosomal RNA, 463 nt
Filed under: uncultured bacterium
Lineage: Bacteria
Description: partial 16S ribosomal RNA
Rfam family: Bacterial small subunit ribosomal RNA
Source: RNAcentral
GACGAACGCUGACAGCAUGCUUAACACAUGCAAGUCUAAGGCAAAUCUCUGCCUGUUCAGGCUAGCUAAGGUGGCGGAGUGAGUAACAAGAAAAGAAUAACCCCCGCAGACCGGGAUAACAGACGCAAACAACUGAUAAUAAUAGCUACAAUUACCGCCACGCACGUGCGGGGCAAUGGAAAGAGAUGCCGCAGGAGAGCUUUGUGUCCUAUUAGCAUGUUGUUGAGGUGGCGGCGCACUAAGGCGAUGUUAGGUAGUCGGCCUGAGAGGGUGAAGGGCCACAAGGGGACUGAGAUACGGCCCUUACUCCUACGGGAGGCAGCAGUGGGGAAUAUUGGACAAUGGGGGCAACCCUGAUCCAUCAAUUCUGUGUGCACGAAGAAGGUUUUCGGAUUGUAAAGUGCUUUCAGCAGGGAAGAAGAAAGUGACGGUACCUGCAGAAGAAGCGACGGCUAAAUACGUG